RNAcentral lists this ribosomal RNA (433 nucleotides) under uncultured bacterium. Its description in RNAcentral is "partial 16S ribosomal RNA". It matches the Rfam family "Bacterial small subunit ribosomal RNA", at positions 29 to 507 of the family's 1533-position model. The record is from RNAcentral.
AACGAACGCUGGCGGCAUGCCUAACACAUGCCAGUCGAACGAGACCUUCGGGUCUAGUGGCGCACGGGUGCGUAACGCGUGGGAACCUGCCCUUAGGUUCGGAAUAACUCCCCGAAAGGGGUGCUAAUACCGGAUAAUGUCUUCGGACCAAAGAUUUAUCGCCUUUGGAUGGGCCCGCGUUGGAUUAGCUUGUUGGUAGGGUAAAAGCCUACCAAGGCGACGAUCCAUAGCUGGUCUGAGAGGAUGAUCAGCCACACUGGGACUGAGACACGGCCCAGACUCCUACGGGAGGCAGCAGUGGGGAAUAUUGGACAAUGGGCGAAAGCCUGAUCCAGCAAUGCCGCGUGAGUGAUGAAGGCCUUAGGGUUGUAAAGCUCUUUUACCCGGGAUGAUAAUGACAGUACCGGGAGAAUAAGCUCCGGCUAACUCCGUG